ACACUCCUACGGGAGGCAGCAGUGGGGAAUAUUGCACAAUGGGCGCAAGCCUGAUGCAGCCAUGCCGCGUGUAUGAAGAAGGCCUUCGGGUUGUAAAGUACUUUCAGCGGGGAGGAAGGCGAUAAGGUUAAUAACCUUGUUGAUUGACGUUACCCGCAGAAGAAGCACCGGCUAACUCCGUGCCAGCAGCCGCGGUAAUACGGAGGGUGCAAGCGUUAAUCGGAAUUACUGGGCGUAAAGCGCACGCAGGCGGUCUGUCAAGUCGGAUGUGAAAUCCCCGGGCUCAACCUGGGAACUGCAUUCGAAACUGGCAGGCUAGAGUCUUGUAGAGGGGGGUAGAAUUCCAGGUGUAGCGGUGAAAUGCGUAGAGAUCUGGAGGAAUACCGGUGGCGAAGGCGGCCCCCUGGACAAAGACUGACGCUCAGGUGCGAAAGCGUGGGGAGCAAACAGGAUUAGAUACCCGAGUAGUCCC
This 472-nucleotide ribosomal RNA is filed under the name uncultured organism. RNAcentral describes it as "partial 16S ribosomal RNA". It matches the Rfam family "Bacterial small subunit ribosomal RNA", at positions 333 to 797 of the family's 1533-position model. The record is from RNAcentral.